GUGAGGUCUUACUGAGCACUGCGUGCCAGUGGAAAGAAGCAUUUUGAAAGGUAAACUGGUGGGGGCGAUGGGGUUCAGAUAUUCUCUGAGAUCAGGAACGUCACUGCUCUCCCCGGGAAGCUGCUUUAGGCACAGUGCUCCUGCCUGACUCGGGAAGACUGCUCUCCUGGCCUCCUGGAAGUCAUAUGGGAAACAGCUCCUCCUGCCCCACCCACCUGCUGCAUGAAGUAUGGAGGCAGAUAUACAUGAAAAAUAAAUACUGAAGAAAUUCCAAUGAAGACUGUGGCCUGGGAUCUCCUCUUGCUCCUUCUCUUUCUGCCUCUUGACCAAUGCAGGUGCUUUCCCAGUGGUUCUGCCUGAUGUGCCAUGCUCUUGUUUCUAAGACUCUCUGAACCUUUCUGAGUCUUCUCUUGUGGUUGCAUCUGACUGACCAUCACAUAAAAGAACAAAGAAUGGUGAGUGUCUUUUCUCAGGAGAGGAAUUAACUAAUAUACUGAAUGCUUUAUAG
Long non-coding RNA from Pan paniscus (pygmy chimpanzee), 508 nucleotides. The record is from Ensembl. NCBI's taxonomy places the organism in Eukaryota, Metazoa, Chordata, Mammalia, Primates, Hominidae.